RAAUGACUCUCGGCAACGGAUAUCUCGGCUCUUGCAUCGAUGAAGAACGUAGCGAAAUGCGAUACUUGGUGUGAAUUGCAGAAUCCCGUGAACCAUCGAGUCUUUGAACGCAAGUUGCGCCUGAAGCCAUUAGGCCAAGGGCACGCCUGCCUGGGUGUCACA
This 162-nucleotide ribosomal RNA is filed under the name Swartzia arborescens. RNAcentral's name for it is "5.8S ribosomal RNA". It matches the Rfam family "5.8S ribosomal RNA". Rfam says of the family: 5.8S ribosomal RNA (5.8S rRNA) is a component of the large subunit of the eukaryotic ribosome. It is transcribed by RNA polymerase I as part of the 45S precursor that also contains 18S and 28S rRNA. The record is from RNAcentral. Lineage: Eukaryota; Viridiplantae; Streptophyta; Magnoliopsida; Fabales; Fabaceae.